This 253-nucleotide ribosomal RNA is filed under the name uncultured bacterium. Its description in RNAcentral is "partial 16S ribosomal RNA". It matches the Rfam family "Bacterial small subunit ribosomal RNA", at positions 524 to 776 of the family's 1533-position model. The record is from RNAcentral.
UACAGAGGUCCCAAGCGUUGUUCGGAUUCACUGGGCGUAAAGGGUGCGUAGGCGGUCGGGUAAGUCUGACGUGAAAUCUCCGAGCCUAACUCGGAAACUGCGUCGGAUACUAUUCGGCUUGAGGAUUGGAGGGGAGACUGGAAUUCUCGGUGUAGCAGUGAAAUGCGUAGAUAUCGAGAGGAACACCAGCGGCGAAGGCGAGUCUCUGGACAAUUCCUGACGCUGAGGCACGAAAGCCAGGGGAGCAAACGGG